Molecule: non-coding RNA, 1361 nt
Filed under: Petropedetes cameronensis (Cameroon water frog)
Lineage: Eukaryota; Metazoa; Chordata; Amphibia; Anura; Petropedetidae
Description: partial 16S ribosomal RNA
Rfam family: Bacterial small subunit ribosomal RNA (bases 1-933)
Source: RNAcentral
GUUUGGUCCUAGCUUUACUAUCAAUUGUUUCUUAACUUACACAUGCAAGUCUCAGCACACCUGUGAGAAAGCCCUUUUCCCUACACCAGUUCAAGGAGCCGGCAUCAGGCACAAGCCUUGACCCAUGACGCCUAGUUUUACCACACCCACAAGGGUACUCAACAGUGAUAAACAUUGAAUAUGAGCGACAACUCGAUUCAGUUAAAGAAAAAAGAGUCGGCCAAAUCGAUGCCAGCCGCCGCGGCUAAACCGUAGACCCAAAUUGAUAAUUUUUCGGCGUAUAGCGUGAUUAAGGCAAUUUUAUCUUAGAGUUAAAUAAACACUAAGUUGUGAAAAUUUUGUUGUUUAAAAAACCAGAAACGAAAGUUACUCUAAUUAACGCCUGAAUACACGACAACUAAGACUCAAACCGGGAUCAGAUACCCCGCUAUGCUUAGUCGUAAAAUAUUUACUUACACCUUUCAACGCCAGGGCAUUACGAGCUUUAGCUUAAAACCCAAAGGACUUGACGGUGUCCCGCCCACCUAGAGGAGCCAUUCUAUAAUCGAUACCCCCCCCCCCUUUACCCUCCCACUUUUAGCCUAUCAGCCUGUAUACCUCCGUCGUAAGCUUACCGUGUGAACGUCUGCAGUAAGCUAAAUAACUUUUCGUCAACACGUCAGGUCAAGAUGCAGCCCAUAAAGUGGCAAGCAAUGGGCUACAAUUUCUAAUUUAGAACAAACGGACAAACUGUAAUGAAACAGUUUAGAAGGAGGAUUUAGUAGUAAAAAGGAAACACGAGAGUCCUUUUUAAUUCGGCACUGGGACGUGUACACACCGCCCGUCACCCUCUUCACAGUACUAAUACAUGUUUUUAACAUAUGCCUACACUUUAGAAGAAGCAAGUCGUAACACGGUAAGUGUACUGGAAAGUGCACUUGGAUGAACAAAAUGUAGUUUAACUAAAUCCUCUCGCUUACACCGAGACAAUAUCUGCUCAACUCAGAUCAUUUUGAACCUUAAUUCUAGCCCUCCUCCCCCUCAUGACUUCUUACACUAUCUUUUUAUCUUAAAACAUUUUAUUAGCUUCAGUAAGGGUGACUAAAAAACCAAUAGGCGCUUUAAAUUUAGUGCCGCAAGGGAAUGAUGARAUAGAAAUGAAACAAYUUAUUAARUAUUAAACAGCAAAGAUUAAAACUUGUACCUUUUGCAUCAUGGUCUAACUAGNCNAACCAANCAAAAANNAUUUUAAGUUUGCCCCCCCGAAACUAAGCGAGCUACUCCAGAACAGCCUUCAGGGCCAACCCGUCUCUGUUGCAAAAGAGUGGGAAGAUUUUCGAGUAGAAGUGACAUACCUACCGAGCUUAGAGAUAGCUGGUUUU